ACCAAAAUACUUAAAGUUGAAUUAAUUGGCAAGGUGAGAUUCAUGUUAUGUGUUAUUACACCUCCGCACUAGAAAUUUGCGAGUUCUGACAGAAACACUCACCUCUAGCAUGCACUGGGCCAUGACCUGCUAAUGCUCGGUGCCAACAUCUGUCAUAUCUUUGAGUCCAGAUGAACUGAGUGCAUGCACUAAGACGCGCUAGCUAGCUGCAGCUUUCACAUAAGGAGCUUCUACUAAAAAAAAGUAUGCAGCAUGCAUGUUCUCUAUUUCGUUUAUUUUUUCUUGCAUUUUGUACUUUAUGUACUAAUUA
Molecule: long non-coding RNA, 310 nt
Filed under: Sorghum bicolor (sorghum)
Lineage: Eukaryota; Viridiplantae; Streptophyta; Magnoliopsida; Poales; Poaceae
Description: long non-coding RNA (SBIC_LNC001909)
Source: RNAcentral